GAUGAACGCUGGCGGCGUGCCUAAUACAUGCAAGUCGAGCGAACAGAUGGGGAGCUUGCUCCUCUGACGUUAGCGGCGGACGGGUGAGUAACACGUGGAUAACCUACCUAUAAGACUGGGAUAACUUCGGGAAACCGGAGCUAAUACCGGAUAAUAUAUUGAACCGCAUGGUUCAAUAGUGAAAGACGGUUUUGCUGUCACUUAUAGAUGGAUCCGCGCCGCAUUAGCUAGUUGGUAAGGUAACGGCCUACCAAGGCAACGAUGCGUAGCCGACCUGAGAGGGUGAUCGGCCACACUGGAACUGAGACACGGUCCAGACUCCUACGGGAGGCAGCAGUAGGGAAUCUUCCGCAAUGGGCGAAAGCCUGACGGAGCAACGCCGCGUGAGUGAUGAAGGUCUUCGGAUCGUAAAACUCUGUUAUUAGGGAAGAACAAAUGUGUAAGUAACUAUGCACGUCUUGACGGUACCUAAUCAGAAAGCCACGGCUAACUACGUG
Molecule: ribosomal RNA, 497 nt
Filed under: uncultured bacterium
Lineage: Bacteria
Description: partial 16S ribosomal RNA
Rfam family: Bacterial small subunit ribosomal RNA
Source: RNAcentral